This is a non-coding RNA of Bos taurus (domestic cattle), 72 nucleotides long. The record is from Rfam. Lineage: Eukaryota; Metazoa; Chordata; Mammalia; Artiodactyla; Bovidae.
UCCCCAGUAGCUCAGAUGGUAAGGCAUCUGCUUGCAAUGUAGGAGAUCUGGGUUCGAUCCCUGGGUUGGGAA